GCGUCGGUAUCCUUGAACUUUUUUAGGGAACUGAACUUAAAUAUAUUUUAAAAUUUUAAUAUAUUCGACUUAUAUCCAUAAGUGGAAUGAGAACGGAGG
Molecule: regulatory RNA element, 99 nt
Organism: Clostridium acetireducens DSM 10703
Lineage: Bacteria; Bacillati; Bacillota; Clostridia; Eubacteriales; Clostridiaceae
Rfam family: pan motif
Source: Rfam